Molecule: non-coding RNA, 381 nt
Organism: Passer domesticus (house sparrow)
Lineage: Eukaryota; Metazoa; Chordata; Aves; Passeriformes; Passeridae
Source: the annotation of a RefSeq genome assembly
AUGACGGGGCUCCGGGCGGCCGUGACCCUGCUGGAGUCCGGGGGGGACCUCCAGCCCCCCGGGGGGUCCCUGCGCCUCCUCUGCCGAGGCUCCGGGUUUGAUUUCGGACAAUUUGGGAUGGGUUGGCAUCGCCAGAGACCCGGGCAGGGGCUGGAAUCUGUCGCGAGUAUCAGCAAAGGUGGCAGCACCUACUACGCGCCGUCAGUCGAGGGCCGGUUCACGAUCUCCAGGGACAACGGGCAGAGCUCGGUGACGCUGACCAUGAACAACCUCAAGGACGAGGAUUCCGGAUCCUAUUUCUGCGUGAAAUCUCCUCAUACUGGUAGCGCUGAUGCUGAUGCUCAGAUUGACCUUGCCGGGGUUGGCACCAGCCCUGCCUGA